AGAAGAACAGAUAUUUGCUUCCACUAAAGAGUUAAUUCCAUUUCUUAGUGGCCUCUUCUGGAAAUUCCCUCUCCACUGAUGAUCUGGCAGAAUCACUUGGAGCCAAAACAGCAGAAAAGGAGCUGGGUGACAAGGGGCACAGGAAGCCCUGCAGCCAGAGGGCAUGAGCCUGGAUAACUCCUGCCUCACCCAUCUCUGUGCAGAGGGAGAGGCACAGUGUUCAUCCUGCGCCAACCCAAGCACAUUCUGAGGCCAGGCUGCAGUCAAAGACGACACUGAACAGUCCUCCUUUGCUUUUGAGGUUGCUAUGACAGCCAGGAAUUUGCAAACCAAACUGGACCUGGAAAAGAAUUCUGUCCUUGGCCCCAAAAGUUUGUGGUUCCAAACUGUUUGCUGAGGGUUCCUGCUGUCUACUUUGAUACCUGCCAGAUGGAAGGAUCUCGGAACCUGGAAUCUGGAAACAUCCCAGUGGAAAGGUUACUUAUGGACAUAAUACCUUUAUUUUUCAUGUGGUGCUGAGGAUUGAACCCAGUGCCUCACGUGUACUAGACAAGUGCGGUGCCACUGAGCCACAACCCCAACCCUAGAUUGGAUCUUUAAAGGACUUCAGAAGAAAAUACUCUGUCACAUUCUCUGGGAGGAGACACAGUUGGGGGAGAGGCCCACCCUGAGUUCUGGGCCUGGGUUCAGUUUCCCCCCUGUGCCCUGCUGUGCCCUGCUGUGUCCAUCAUGGGUCCACACCAAGCACAUUUAGACUCAUCGACUCUCUACUGCAACUGUGCAAGAUGGGGGACAGAAAAGAAUGAUUGAUUUCAAUUAGGUUUUGCCAAUUCCUACAAUUAAUAUUCCUAAUUAUGUUUAUCUCAUAUUCAUUAGGAAUACAAAGAGCUGACAAGCACUGGCAUUUGUAUUUUCUUCAGAUAAAUAAAUGAGGUACUCAGGUCCCUAA
Molecule: long non-coding RNA, 949 nt
Organism: Marmota monax (woodchuck)
Lineage: Eukaryota; Metazoa; Chordata; Mammalia; Rodentia; Sciuridae
Exons: 3
Source: RefSeq, a predicted model, not a curated record